This 1469-nucleotide long non-coding RNA is filed under the name Linum usitatissimum (flax). RNAcentral's name for it is "long non-coding RNA (LUSI_LNC007348)". Lineage: Eukaryota; Viridiplantae; Streptophyta; Magnoliopsida; Malpighiales; Linaceae. The record is from RNAcentral.
CCCCAAACGUCUUAUAUCACCUGAAAAUGCAUAAAACAUCCCAAACAACGUAAUACGGCCCCGAGGGGCAAGAGAACUAAAUAUGUACUCAAAAUCUUGAGUUUGAAUAGAUUUCAACACACAAAAAUAUAGUUUAUAACGAGAAUAAGUGUGUCAAAAAUACAACACAUCAGUUCAGCAUUUGGAAGUACUGUGUUCAGAGCAUCAAUCAACCCUUGCAUAGAGGGUGAUAGGUUUCAAAUUACAAUUAAAACAAGUAGUAAAACCCUAGAGCCAAAAAAUUGAAAAUUGAAGCACUUUACAUACGUUAUGUUGAUCUGUUAUAAUUGACCACCCUGUCCCAUUUGCCAUGCCUAGUUCUUCUGGUAGAAUUUGAAUUAGUCUUCCUAUUCCUAAAGACUGAUCACCUUCCUCUCCGUAAGCUAAAUCACUGUCUUGUGCUCUACCUUGAAUUCCCCCUGUAGUUAGGUUAUCACUAACAUGCUUCUUCACACAAUUAUAGAACAACUGGAUACGUCUAAGUUCUGCCACUUGUAGUAAGCCCCCAACAAGUUCAAUAUUGCUGAAUAUCUCCACCACGGUUUUGCUACCAUCCGUGAAGCUCUUCCUAGGAAUUAAGUACCACAUCUUGUCCACCCAAUCAUACCCCUACUCCUUCGUUGCAAUAUAUGUGAGUGCUUGAAACGAAAGUUUAUCCUCCCGUAACGACAAUGGACCUAUAGUUAUCCGACGUAGUCAGGGAUUCCUCUAUGCCAGUUCAUCUUACCUCUAUGGUAGAUCGUCAGAGUUAUCAACUCAGCCAUGGUCUGCCAAAAAUUGCGAUUACCAAUGUUCCAUAUAAAGCCUAUAGUAUACAAUAUUGACAAGAACUGAAUAUGGCAACAUAUGAUGCAAUUACUUCAACAGGACCACAUAGUAGGAUAAAAGAUUGCAAUUUUUUACACCAAAAGGAAUUUCGAAACCGCAAAUGCCCUUUCUAAAAAAAGUACAAGAGACAAGAACAUGCCAUAAACACACCCACCCACCCAGAAACAACACAAAAGAAAUGAAAUCUCGAAAAAGUUUCCUCUAAACAAUAAAGUGGUCCUGCGCAUCUGUAUAUAAAACACUUUCUUCCAACAAGAAUCAAAAUCGGAAGAUGUAAACUACUACUUCUCUUACCUCAUAUCUCACUUCGGGCUGUUUCCUUCCCUUCGCCAUAAGAACAACAAGAAUGCUAAGGAGAAUGAGAUAACUGCUACAGCUCGCGAGGCUGGGAUUUUGUGGUUCGGGCAGUCGUCACCGACGAAUACCGAGGUUCCGUUCAGGCAAAAGUUCACAUAAUGUAAUGCGCUGCGGGUUAUUUGAGGUGAAUUAAUUGGUGAUAUCGACAACGAUGAUGUAAUUUAAGUUCUAGGGUUUCGUUUUAGAGAGUUUGAGUUCAAAACAUGGUAGUAAAGAAGAUGAGGAAAAUGGAUGGUCAUAGAGUG